This 506-nucleotide ribosomal RNA is filed under the name uncultured Desulfobulbus sp. Its description in RNAcentral is "bacterial SSU rRNA". It matches the Rfam family "Bacterial small subunit ribosomal RNA", at positions 880 to 1382 of the family's 1533-position model. Lineage: Bacteria; Pseudomonadati; Thermodesulfobacteriota; Desulfobulbia; Desulfobulbales; Desulfobulbaceae. The record is from RNAcentral.
UUGCCAGCCCGCUCAGAAACUCAAAUGAAUUGACGGGGGCCCGCACAAGCGGUGGAGUAUGUGGUUAAUUCGAUGCAACGCGAAGAACCUUACCUGGUCUUGACAUCCCGGAGACCCUUAGGAAACUAGGGGGUGCUUCCAUCUGGAAGAAUCUGGAGACAGGUGCUGCAUGGCUGUCGUCAGCUCGUGUCGUGAGAUGUUGGGUUAAGUCCCGCAACGAGCGCAACCCUUGCCUUUAGUUGCCAGCAGUUCGGCUGGGCACUCUAAAGGGACUGCCGGUGUUAAACCGGAGGAAGGUGGGGAUGACGUCAAGUCCUCAUGGCCUUUAUGACCAGGGCUACACACGUACUACAAUGGCCGAUACAAAGGGCAGCGACACUGCGAGGUGAAGCCAAUCCCGUAAAAUCGGUCUCAGUCCGGAUUGGAGUCUGCAACUCGACUCCAUGAAGUUGGAAUCGCUAGUAAUCGUGGAUCAGCAUGCCACGGUGAAUACGUUCCCGGGCCUU